RNAcentral lists this long non-coding RNA (1177 nucleotides) under Prunus dulcis (almond). Its description in RNAcentral is "sRNA ncRNA". Lineage: Eukaryota; Viridiplantae; Streptophyta; Magnoliopsida; Rosales; Rosaceae. The record is from RNAcentral.
AAGCAAGGGAAAACCUGAUCUUGUGCGAAAGGAAGCCAUUUCUUCCAGUUGCGCAUAUCCUCAAACUCAAGAGUCUCCAAUACUGGAAAAGGCAAGCUACUCUCUCCAUAGAACUCAGGACCGACACUUCUCACUGCAGCCAUUCCUGUAAUAUAAAGUUCUUUGAGCAAAGGCAGUUGCCCAAGUGGUGGCAAGAUUUGACAAUUUUUACAUUUGUGUAAGCGUACAUGCACCAUAGUGGAGAAUAAACGAUCUCCAAUCCAUGUUGAAAAUUCUAAUCCAGCAUAACCCCUGAUGAUGAGUUUUUCAAGCUUUCUAUGAGGUUCUAAUCUGUCAAGCACGCCUAUUUGCGUUUCUUGUGUCAACCAUUCUAGCAUCAAUUCAUCUACUCUCUCCUUGGAUUUUAAGUCGGCCUUCCGUGCAUCCUCAGCAUCGAUCACAUUCUCCAACCUUGAGAGCGAUAAUGUCCCUCGGAGAUGGGAUAGGGAUCCUAUCUCUCUUAUCCCUGAUUCAUCACUACCUUUACCCACCACAAAAUUAGGCAAAGACUGCAGAUUCGUCAACCGACCUAGUUGCGGAGGCAUUGCUUUUAGUGAAUCUACCUUUGAAUUGUUGAGAUGACGCAGAUUCACUAGAUUCCUCAAGUUUAUGGGUAGUGCCUCCAAAAAACUACAACCUUCCAAUAUCAGUGUCUGUAAGUUGAAAAGAGUGGUUGUUGAUUCAGGCAAACUUGUUAUAUCUGUGUGAGAAAAAUCAAGAUACCGCAGAUACUUCAAAUUACCAAUUGAAUCUGGCAGCUCAGUCACUCGAUAGCCAUUCAAAGAAAGCACCCGUAAGUAUUGCAUCUGAGGUAAUAAAUCAAAAAUUACCUUUCGAGCCAGAUAUCGAAUCCACCCAGUAUUUGAUAGUGAAAGUGGCAGGAAUGUUCGCAAACGUUUAACUUCGGGAAAGGCCUCAAACUUUUGAACUCCAUCAUAGUGACCAAUUAUGAAAGACGAAUGACGAAAGCAUACAGAUUGCAAGUUAUCACCUUUCUUGUCCUCCAAUCUAAAACAAGUAUUUCCUGCUGCCCAUUGUGCCAAAUCAGUAACAAGGUCAUGCAUUACAUACCGUGAAUUGUUUUCACUUGCCUUUUGAAAUAAUGACCUACAUAAUAGCUCUUGAAAAUAGUCGUGGC